GAUGAACGCUGGCGGCGUGCCUAAUACAUGCAAGUCGAGCGAACAGAUGAGGAGCUUGCUCCUCUAACGUUAGCGGCGGACGGGUGAGUAACACGUGGAUAACCUACCUAUAAGACUGGGAUAACUUCGGGAAACCGGAGCUAAUACCGGAUAAUAUAUUGAACCGCAUGGUUCAAUAGUGAAAUACGGUUUUUCUGUCACUUAUAGAUGGAUCCGCGCCGCAUUAGCUAGUUGGUAAGGUAACGGCUUACCAAGGCAACGAUGCGUAGCCGACCUGAGAGGGUGAUCGGCCACACUGGAACUGAGACACGGUCCAGACUCCUACGGGAGGCAGCAGUAGGGAAUCUUCCGCAAUGGGCGAAAGCCUGACGGAGCAACGCCGCGUGAGUGAUGAAGGUCUUCGGAUCGUAAAACUCUGUUAUUAGGGAAGAACAAAUGUGUAAGUAACUAUGCACGUAUUGACGGUACCUAAUCAGAAAGCAACGGCUAACUACGUG
This 497-nucleotide ribosomal RNA is filed under the name uncultured bacterium. RNAcentral's name for it is "partial 16S ribosomal RNA". It matches the Rfam family "Bacterial small subunit ribosomal RNA", at positions 28 to 507 of the family's 1533-position model. The record is from RNAcentral.